RNAcentral lists this long non-coding RNA (457 nucleotides) under Helianthus annuus (common sunflower). The record is from RNAcentral. Lineage: Eukaryota; Viridiplantae; Streptophyta; Magnoliopsida; Asterales; Asteraceae.
AUGGCUAUAACUCCCGAUUACAAUUGACAUGACAGUACAAUUCAUUUCUCAUCUUCCUACUCUCUCUAUCUUUUCAAAUCCAAACUACGAUGGUGUGCUCCGAUGGUGUGCUUGCUUUGGCGAUGAUUCAAACCAUGACUACAGAUCUGAAGAGGAUUGAGAUCAGGAAAGGAAUGACAAAGAUUGAAGCUGCUACGCCUGGGACAUGACCGUUUGACGGCUUUGUCAUCCACAACACUGUUGCUGGAAUCCUCCAUUUUAGGGAUUCUUAUUCAUCGUUGCGUUGUUGGUAAAGGGUUCAGAUUUUUCCAAGCCUCUGUCGAUGAAGGAGUUUUUUAUUUGGGGAAACCUUUGAAAUCUAAUUUUGUAAGAUUAAAGCUUUUAUUUGAAACUGAAAUUGAGAACUGGUGUGUUUUAAGGUUUUGCAUAUAUGCAUCCGUGUGGUUACUUAACUCAU